GGUCACGAGUGUCAGCGUCAAGCCCCGGCUAGCUGACCGGCAACCCUCCUUCCGCGGUGGGGUGCCCCGGGUGAGGACCUGGCUCGUCGCGCGGUGCGACGGGCAAGCGCGGGAU
Molecule: regulatory RNA element, 115 nt
Organism: Amycolatopsis orientalis HCCB10007
Lineage: Bacteria; Bacillati; Actinomycetota; Actinomycetes; Pseudonocardiales; Pseudonocardiaceae
Rfam family: SAM (S-adenosyl methionine) riboswitch aptamer
About the family: SAM-IV is a mRNA element that regulates gene expression via direct sensing of S-adenosylmethionine (SAM or AdoMet). SAM-IV riboswitches share conserved nucleotide positions with the previously described SAM-I riboswitches sequence analysis and molecular recognition experiments suggest that SAM-I and SAM-IV riboswitches share similar ligand binding sites, but have different scaffolds.
Source: Rfam